ACUGGCUGGAAAACCACCUGCGAAGUCACAGGUGGCCGCAGGUGAGAUUCGGCUCCCAAAGCAACCAGGGGCCUUAGCUCGCCGCCUAUUGCCUGCGUGCAGGCAGCCGAAACCCGGAUCCCAACAGGC
This 129-nucleotide small nucleolar RNA is filed under the name Echinops telfairi (small Madagascar hedgehog). Its description in RNAcentral is "Small nucleolar RNA ACA64 (ENSETEG00000026554.1)". It matches the Rfam family "Small nucleolar RNA ACA64". Lineage: Eukaryota; Metazoa; Chordata; Mammalia; Afrosoricida; Tenrecidae. The record is from RNAcentral.